This 617-nucleotide long non-coding RNA is filed under the name Ananas comosus (pineapple). Its description in RNAcentral is "long non-coding RNA (ACOM_LNC018629)". The record is from RNAcentral. Lineage: Eukaryota; Viridiplantae; Streptophyta; Magnoliopsida; Poales; Bromeliaceae.
CCCAACUGAUUCAAAUUCUAUUUCCAAAAUGAGCUAGGCUCCUGUACUUUCGAAAAUAUGGAGGGCUUUAUGUUUAUAAGUUAUUUUCAAUGAUAGAAUAUUUAAUUCGGCGGUCGGUUUCGUUAGAGAUGAUCUACAGUAUUUAAACUCUCUAUAAAUCAAAUUUUAUAAGUUUUUAACUUUUUUUGCCUAGUGAAUAGUGAACGAGUGGUUGCAAAAUGAACGGCCGAAAUUAAAAAUUUUAUAAAAUAUAUUAAAAAAUUUAAAAUUUAAAUAAAAAAUAUUGAUCUUAGUUUUGAUGUUAAAUAGAAUUUUCUAUUAAAAUUUCACAUAAUUUCAAUUGUUUUAUACCAUCGAAUUUGCAAACGCGUCCCAUUAGCCAAUAAAAUAGUUAUUUUUGAGACCUUUUGAUCACUAAGUACAUAAUGAUGUUAAAAAGUUAUGAAAUUUGAUUUUCAAAUGCUUCUAAUAGUACAGAUUAUGCCUAACGAAAUUGGUCGAUGUCGAAAAUGUCACACCAUCGAAAAUAACCUAUAAGUAUAAAAGCUUCCAUACUUUCGAAAGUACAAGGAAUGUACUCUUCCAAAAUACCAUUUUAGAUCUUUUUUCUUUUCUUU